RNAcentral lists this long non-coding RNA (1935 nucleotides) under Helianthus annuus (common sunflower). The record is from RNAcentral. Lineage: Eukaryota; Viridiplantae; Streptophyta; Magnoliopsida; Asterales; Asteraceae.
GCCAAAAGCAUAGAAAUUGACUCCGUUCUUUUGUCUUCACUCGCUAAAUCAAUCAUUCCCUAUUGAAUCGGAGUUUCCUUUUUGAUUCUCCGUUACAAUCAAAAACCCUAAAUCCAGUGUUUCCUUUCAUCCUUUGCCUCCCAAUUGAAAGAACGUAGAUCUCAUCUCUCUACUCUCUACCUGAUUCUUAACACAUCGACCCUUGGGGCCAAGGGAGAUGGUAAAAAAGAAGAGACAGAGAGUGGUGGAGUAAUGGCUGCCGUUCAAGAGAAACAAGAGAGAGGGAGAGAGGAAGCAAAUGAGGGACGCAUAAGGGAUAUGAAGGUCAUCUUCUCCGACGACCGGUGUCUGCGAUAGGGAUACCGGUUUCUUAGUAUUCAGCGGUGGCAGUUCCAAUGUUGUUGAUGGCGGCUUCUUUUUUAAAUGAACUGUGGAUGUAGGUUCGAAGAAGAAGUGUAUUAUCCAAUCACAGGCACAUUAUAAUAUAAAUCUGUAGAGUAUUUCUGUCAAUGGUCAAACGUUGUCCAUUGACCCGUCGACCUUUUGCGAUAUCAGACAACCAAGGUGGAAGUGGAACCAUAGUUGAUUCAGGAACAACUCUGUCAUACCUUGCUGAAGAUGCUCUUAACCCGUUUGUGGAUGUUAUCACACAGGCGGUUUCACAGUCUGUACAACCGCUUAUUUCAAAGAAAAAUAAGUGUUAUAUAAUUACCUCCAGCAUGUCCCUAAGGUAAAUGAAGAAAUGCCCACUGCUGAUGAAGCAACGUCGGAUUAUUAGAGGCUAAUGGACAUUCUAUUAUAUGAUAUUUUAUAUAAAAAUAACGACGGAAGCGGCUAGGGAUGUUUUGGAUGACCAAUGAUGGGACGGAAGCUAUGGUUUGACAGAAUUACAAACCUAAUAUGUGAUUGUUCCAACAUGAGCAGGCGUUGAACAUUGGAAGACGGUUCAUUUAUGAUCGAGAAAACGGUCUGUGGGCAAAUUGCCUUAUAAUCUAAACAGUGACAAAUUGGUUGAGCUCUUUAAUUUUGCUGAAGUUGUUGAGAUUGCAAAGGUGGUGUAUUUUGUUAAUUCUGGAACUAAAGCAAAUGAGUUGGCAACGUUGAUGGCACGACUGCAUAGGGAGAAACACAAGCUAAUUGCCUUGAGAAAUGCAUAUGAUGGUUGAAGUGCCUCAAGAAUUGGAUUGACAGCUCUGAAAACAUGGAAAUACCCAAUACCUUAGGUGAAUUAUAAUAGGGAUACUGGACAGAGUAGAUGGUUUGGGUUUGUGAUAAUGAGUAUAGUUGAAGAAGCUUAUAAAGCUAUGGAGACUUUUUGUGGCUAUUCUGGGCUCAAUUACUUCGGUUUCAGUGUGGCGGGUUCUACGCUGUGGAAGGCCCACUAUGGGAUGGGGUUUAAGCAACAGUUGCUGGUGAUGACCAGAGCCCACAUAAUCAGCUGGGGGCACGGUUUCUUGCGUUUACGGAAGGCCCAAACCUAGCCUGAUUGUCCUACAAAAAGAACCCGGGUUUGGGAUUUCCGAAAGUGGUUUAAUUUUCAAGCGAAGGCCCAAUACAGGGUUCUUAUUGUGAAGACCAGGGCCCACCUUCAUCGUUUGGGCCUGGUGAUGUUGGGCUUGGUUUACGAGUGGUUUAAUCAGCGGUGGGUGCCCGCUUAUAUAACUACUUAUUGGCUUUGUAGUGGGUGGGAAAUGAUAAAAUGUCUAAAAGCUUCGGUCAGGCUCUGUUUAAUGAGAAGGCUCAAACAAGGGUUGGGCCACUGAUGGAAAUCAAGCACAUAUCGGCCCAACUUAAAAACGUCUUGCUGGGCAUCUUUUUUGUGGUUUGUGCAAAGGUGCUAACGAUGAAGAUAAAGAGGAUAAAUGUAGUUUACAAAGAAGUUUUUACUGAUCUGUGAUGUUCAUGUACCGUAAUAUUUUAAAUUUUUUAGUGCAG